GGGGUCGGCGAGGCUGUGUUGACGGCGCCGGGGGAAGCGGGCUGUCGGUGUGGGUCCCGCCGCCCUGCUGCACGUCGCCGGGGCGGGACGGCCGCCUGACGCAAGCCGGUCCAAAGUGGAUGACUUCACAUUUCCCUGCAUCGAAAUCCAUUUGCUACAGUUUUGCCCAGUCACUCAACUUAUCAAUUUCUCUUUGAAAUCUAAUGCGGCCUACCUGUGUCAUCUGCAAAUUUGGAUAUGUGGCUUUCUACCGCAUCACCUAAAUGAUUUAUAAAUACGCUUCUAUGGCUCACCAUCUGGCAUCAAUCUGAAAAAAUGGAUUCAGACGACUUACCUAAUUUAGAAGGCAUGUUUGGCUCCGUGUGGUCUACACCCAUGGAGGAAGUGAACCUGGAGCUAGAUGAGGGUCAGCUGAAUCUGGAAGUCGGGGAGGAUGACUUCACAGUAUGGAUUGCUUUCAAGGGGAACAUGAAGGAUGUUGAUUUUGCAAAUAAACUAGACUUGAUCAUCAAUAACAUGCCAUGCCUUCUGAAAAUGGAUUCGAAAAAACUGAAGCUCGAGAAAGUGGAGCCAUGGAACAGUGUUCGUGUAACGUUUAAUAUUCCCCGAGAAGCUGCAGAGCGGUUACGCCUGUUGGCUCAGAAUAAUAACCAGCAGUUACGUGACUUGGGCAUUCUUUCUGUUCAGAUUGAAGGUGAAGGAGUUAUUAAUUUGGCUUUGGUGCAGCAGAGAGGCCAAGAGAUCAGAGUAAAUGGACCAGUGAAUCAGAUCAGAAUGGAACCAGGAUUUUCUUUGCAAGGAGGACAAGGUUUGAUUAGAGUUAACAAUCCUUCCGCUCCCAUGCUCCCUUCAAGCAGCAACAUGGCAGCUUCCUUGGUCAGCAGUGGAGCAAGUUCAGACCUUAUGCAAAAUAGAUUACCGCAUCCUUCCACGCGACCCACUGCUCAACCUGGUAUGGAUUCUGUUCUCUCAACUCUAAACAUUCAAGCAUCAGGACACCCCUCUGGAUCAUUGCCUCAACAGCCUCACAUUGUGCAAACAAUGUCAGCCAACCGGCAGGUAGCCCCAGCCAAUCUGCAGCAGCACCAAUUGCAAGGAGGACGUCCUCCAUUUAAUCCAGCUCAGAUUUCCAUAGCUGGCACAUGGAAUCAAGUCCCGACAGCUGCAAUCCAAUCGCCCUCCACCCAGGGAGCUUUGGGAACUUUGGCAAAUCCAAUAUGGAAGAAGGCUCCUAUGCCUGGACAAAUGCAGCCUCAGCAACUUCAGGCCAGGCCACCCCUGGCAACUGUUCAGACCCCUGCUCAUCCUCCACCUCCCUACCCAUUUGGAAGUCAACAAACAUCACAGGCUCAUCAAACCUUUUCUCAGCCUUGCACCUCCCCACAGUUUGCAUCACCACCACCUAAGAACCACCAGGGAGGACCACCUCGAGUUCCUACGCCCCUGCAGCAGCCUCACCUAACCAACAAGUCUCCAGCCUCUUCUCCUUCUACUUUCCAACAAAGUUCCCCUUCCUCCUCUCCAACAGUUAACCAGCCACAGCAGCACAUUGGACCUCGGACACCUCAGAGCAGUUCCCUCCCUCAGACUUUUCAGCCAGCGGUGUGCCAGAGUUCUCCAAGUCGUGGUCCCAUUGUUCAGCAAGGAAACUUGCCAGCUGGGUUUAUGAUGCAAGCAAAUCAGGUGGCACAGAGUCCUCAUUCUACCAUAGGAAGCAUGCAGAAGCGUCUUCCACCGACCUUUCCUCCUGGUCAGCCUAAUCAAAACUUCACUCAAGCACAGAUUAAUCAAGCUGUUGCAUCUGCCACGUCGAUGAACAGUGGAAUUCUGCAGGUGCAGCCUAAUCAAAAUGCACCACAUACAGGUGGUCCGAGUAAUGUUGCUGCUCAAAAUCCUAUGAAUGUACAGUCUCAUGGGCCAACUAAUGUGAUGCAAGCAAAUCUUCUUGGACUUCAUGGGAACAUGAAUAAUCAGCAGUCCAUCAAUAGUCAAGUGAAUAUGGGUAACGUGCAGGGGCAGCAGGGCCCUCAGUCACAGUUUAUUGGGAUGCAUCAGCAAAUCGCACCUUCACAGGGCCAGGUGAUGAAUGUUCAAUCUCAAGGUCCACAUCCAUCAAACCAGAUGAUUAUUUCUCGUCCUCAGCUCAUCCAAAGCCAAAUGAUGAUGGCGACGUCCCAAAGUCACAAUGUCGUUGCACCUAGACAGAGGAUGACUCCACCCAAGCAGUUGCAUUCACAGCAGGGUCAGCAAAUAAUGACUACUCAUGGGCAGUUAAUAGGACCUCAGGGUCAAGUCGUAUUACAACAGAGCCAGAUGAUGGGGCUGCCUGAGCAGAUCGUUGUCAGUCAGGUGCAGGGAAACAAACAAGGGUUCAAUAAUCAGAACCAGCAGAAUGUAAUAGGGGGUCCGGGUCACAUGAUGAGGGGACCUGCCACAAACUUGCAGGGUAAUAUGGUUCAAUUUUCCACACAGAUGAUCCAGCAGAAUCCUCUGAAUGGGAAUUCUCAAGGGAUUGGCAUACAGGGACAAGGGCUUAGACCUUCAGUACCUCACAUAACUCAACAGCACGGUGACCAUACAACAUCAGCCAGUGACGUCAAUGUAACACAGAUGCUGCCUGAUCUUCAAAUGCAGCAAAGUGCUGUUCCCUCUCAUUUACAAACAAUGCAGCCAGGCAACUCUGCUGGGUCUCACUUUUCAGCCCAUGGUAUGACCUUCAGUGCUCCUUAUAGCACCACAGCAAGUGGAAGUCAGGUGUCUUUGGUCACUGCCUCUGGUUUUCCAAACAACAAAGAUGUCACUCUGACUAGUCCGUUGCUUGUCAACCUGCUGCAGAGUGAUAUCACGUCAGCACAGUUUGCCAUGACCAACAAACAGAACAGCCAGGCUGUCAACAAACCCAAGAAGAAAAAACCAUCGCGUUCACAGAAGAAAAAGAACAGCGGAUCUCAGCAGGCAGAAGAGCAAACACAGCAUGUGGAUGUGGCUCAACAGGUGCCCAAAGUCUUCUGGCCAUUCCUCAUGCAUGAGCCAAGAUGGAUUUCAGAUACCCGUCAGAUGCAGCCAGGGCUAGAUGAUGGAGAACCACAACAAAUGACAGGAGAACAGGGUGUUGGAAUUGAUCCAGCAGCCAACAAGUUGUCUGAAUUUGCAAAUCGAUCUGCUGGAUUCCAUUUGCAGGCAGUUGAUCAGAGAGCACUACAGCAGACAACUAUUCAAUCCAUCCAACACUCUCAGCAGCAACAGCAACCACCUCAACAACAACAGCAGCAGCAGCAGCAGAUGAUGAUGAUGCUGAUGAUGAAGCAGCAGCAACAACAACAACAGCAACAACAACAGUCGGACUCAGCAAAAUCAAUUAGGAUUCCGAUGACCCCUAAUACACUUCCAUCAAAAACAACCUUAACUCCAGAUGCGUCAAGAAUGCCAAUGACCACAGCUGGUAAUAAAGCAGUCAUGGUAAGCUUGCCUGGCCAGAGUGGAGUGCCACCAUCACCAGAUAAAUCGAGGAUGCCUUUAUUAGUUGGCCAUCAAGCUGGCAACACACUAAGGAAGAUGACUUUUCAGGAAAAUAUUCAAAACAUCCCAUCAUCAGUCCCCGAGGAAGGAAAUCCAGCUGCACAUCAUCCUGAUGGAAUAGGAACUGAACUUUCACUUUCCACUGGGGCCCAAGUAAAUCCAGGGCCACAACCUGUUCCCCUACCGACCCAAGUGCUCAUCACUGGGACUAAGCCUGGACAUUCUCAAAUCCCAACACCGCAAGGUGCAAGUCCGCAGCAGCAGGGACCUCUUCCUUUACAAGGCGGUCACAACAUUCAUUUUCCUAACAACAAUACUACUACUACUACACAGACCUCGAGACCAAAAACACCAAAUCGAGCAAGCCCCAGGCCCUACUUUCCCCACACACCCACCAGUAGACCACCCAGCACAGAACCUUCUGAGAUAAGUUUAUCGCCUGAAAGGUUGAAUGCUUCUAUUGCAGGUCUUUUUCCUCCUCAAAUCAACAUUCUCUUGCCUCCUCGGCAGCCCCCUCUAAAUAGAGGCUUUGAUCAACAGGGACUAAACCCAACUACUCUGAAAGCGAUUGGACAGGCCCCAACCAGCAUUCCUCCCCUUGCUACCAACUCAUCUGUUUCCACAGCAUCACAAGCAAAUAAACUGGAUUCGGUUAUAGUCAGUUCGGCAAAACAGGUUACUGGGAAACGUGCAAGUCCUAGUACUAGCAGGAGAGCCAGCACUGGGUCCAGUAGAAAAACUGGUCAAAGUUCAGGUAGACAAAGUGGGAAAGGCUUGAAAUCAGUCCUGACCCUUCAGCAGAACCCAGCCAUCAUACCAAACAUGGAUGUACAAAAGAACAUUCUAACAAAUGCUGCACAAGUUCUGUCAAAUUCUGGAAGUUUGAGUGAUCCUAGCAAUGCAGUUCCAAGUACUCCAAAUCCACCAAUUUCUAUCAGAAUUUUGGCUAACAAUCCUGAAGAAAGCAAGGAAGGUCCACCUUUGUCUGGCAACAGUGUGUUGAAGCAGGUCUCCAGUAACAAGGAACAGAUGACAUUUGAAUGCAAUCCUCAAAACGUAAACAAAUUGGAGAAGAAAAAUGGUUCUGAGAUUCAAAUAAAAAAGGGAAUUAAGCCACCGGAUACCAGUAGACCUGGUGGACGUGGAGAUGAGAAAAGCCUACCACCUUUAAGAGAGAUUCCUAUUUCGCUUAAUCAACUUCUGGACACUUCUGGUAGUCCUGGUGCUACCAUUAAGACCACUAGUUCCAAUCAAAUGGAACAACUUAUACCUUCUGGAGAUAAAGAGAAAGCAGUAACACCAGAUGAACCUGUUAAGGAAAUUCCUAGUGCAUCGGCACAAGUUGUUUGUGACAGUGGCUUAGCCCCAAUUCGACAGGAAGCAGGAGAAUUAAACAUUAAUGUGACUCAGAGUGGUCCAGCCAUGGUGCCCACACCAGUAGUGUCUGCAUCUAUUUCUGCGUCAAAUCCAAUUACAGUGUUUUUGAGUUCCAGUCCCAUUAAAUCGACAAGCAAUGUAACUGCACCUGCACAGACUCAGUCCCAGCCUACAGUUGUUUCAUCUGUAGUCACAAUGCCACCCUUGGGUAAUAAAGUGGUAUCUGAGGUACAGCCAAUGGUACAGACAGGUUCACAGCCAGCAUUCAUCACUGCACCUGUGUUUAUAAAUACAUCUGUAUUCCAGGUUGUUAAAGAACCUUUGUUAUCUCAAUCAACCACCGUUCCUAAAGUAACUUUACCUUCAACUUCUUCAUUGGUACCCCAGUCUGUAACUGUAAUCCAGGUAUCUCACACUGCUCAGAGUUCAUCGUGCUCAGCAGUUUCAACUACCCCACCUGUUAAUAGCUCCAUUAACUCUUCUGCACCAACGAGUAGAAUGCUGGUUCAGAGGUCAUCUGCAUCCCCAGUUCAGCCACCUUCCACCUCUCCGGCUCCUCCAAACAUCUCCUCACCAUCUCCUCACAGGCCAGCUGCAGACUUCAACCUCAGUGAGUCUCUUCAGAAUAACGGCAUGGUUGACCAAAGCUCUUCAGCUUCAUCCCACGCAACUGCAGUUGCAACGUCACCUACUUCAGCUAGCCCAGUUGAGCAAAGAAAAGAGUCUUUGGAACAUUUGGACACAGGACUGCCAGCCACAACACCUCCAGUUGUUCCAGAGCAAAUAUCGCCCAGGUUCAGUGCAACAAGGGACCACGGUGAAAAAUGGAGAAGACUUGAAUGUUGCGAAUGAAGUGGGUCAGAGUGAAGCAAAAAUACUCUAGAGAAAUCCAAAAGCCCUACCAGAAAAAAUUCAAAAAAUGAAAAGGAGAUAGAGGAGGGUUCAUCCCUUCAGGAAUCUUCUGAAAAUGGGCAACGGAAAAGGCCUUCACGACCAGGCUCUACAGCGGGGGGCACGAAAGAUACGAGUACAGCCACCAGCCCUACACAGACAAAACGAAGGAAAUCCAAAUAAAAUCUCACAAUUGUAAACCUGUGAAGUGUAAAUGUUUGUGAAUUUAAAUAAUUUUUCCAAGCUACUUUUCUAGCAUGAAAUUGUGUAUAGAGUACUGUUUUAAUAUUUGUCCCACUGAAAUGUGACUUUAAAAAAAAAGUUUUUUGAAUCCUGAAACUGUUUAACAAGGUAAAAACCUGUCAUACAGCCAGUAAAACCCCACUGGAAAGUAACCGUACUGGUAAUUUCUGUUGCAAAGCUAAAGUAAGUUGCCAGCUUUUGUCACUGUCACCAACCUUGGUAAAAUAUAGUAUGUUAUUUUUAAUUUGGUAUUUACUGACUGUUAAAUUGUGUUCAAGUCUUAAAUACUGUAUGUGAAUAUUUGUACGAGGGUGCAAUAAAGCCCAUCUCCACUGGA
Pristis pectinata (smalltooth sawfish) is the source of this 6367-nucleotide RNA transcript. It is a transcript of the gene named nuclear receptor coactivator 6, with no coding region annotated. The transcript is spliced from 17 exons. The record is from RefSeq and is a predicted model, not a curated record. Lineage: Eukaryota; Metazoa; Chordata; Chondrichthyes; Rhinopristiformes; Pristidae.